Molecule: ribosomal RNA, 468 nt
Filed under: uncultured bacterium
Lineage: Bacteria
Description: partial 16S ribosomal RNA
Rfam family: Bacterial small subunit ribosomal RNA
Source: RNAcentral
GACGAACGCUGGCGGCGUGCUUAACCCAUGCAAGUCGAACGGAAAGGCCCUGCUUUUGUGGGGUGCUCGAGUGGCGAACGGGUGAGUAACACGUGAGUAACCUGCCCUUUACUUUGGGAUAACUUCAGGAAACUGGGGCUAAUACCGGAUAGGAGCUCCUGCUGCAUGGUGGGGGUUGGAAAGUUUCGGCUGUUGGGGAUGGACUCGCGGCUUAUCAGCUUGUUGGUGGGGUAGUGGCUUACCAAGGCUUUGACGGGUAGCCGGCCUGAGAGGGUGACCGGCCACAUUGGGACUGAGGUACGGCCCAGACUCCUACGGGAGGCAGCAGUGGGGAAUAUUGCACAAUGGGCGGAAGCCUGAUGCAGCAACGCCGCGUGCGGGAUGACGGUCUUCGGGUUGUAAACCGCUUUCGCCUGUGACGAAGCGUGAGUGACGGUAAUGGGUAAAGAAGCACCGGCUAACUACGUG